UGGGGAAUUUUGGACAAUGGGCGAAAGCCUGAUCCAGCAAUGCCGCGUGUGUGAAGAAGGCCUUCGGGUUGUAAAGCACUUUUGUCCGGAAAGAAAUCCUUGGCUCUAAUACAGUCGGGGGAUGACGGUACCGGAAGAAUAAGCACCGGCUAACUACGUGCCAGCAGCCGCGGUAAUACGUAGGGUGCAAGCGUUAAUCGGAAUUACUGGGCGUAAAGCGUGCGCAGGCGGUUUGCUAAGACCGAUGUGAAAUCCCCGGGCUCAACCUGGGAACUGCAUUGGUGACUGGCAGGCUAGAGUAUGGCAGAGGGGGGUAGAAUUCCACGUGUAGCAGUGAAAAUGCGUAGAGAUGUGGAGGAAUACCGAUGGCGAAGGCAGCCCCCUGGGCCAAAUACUGACGCUCAUGCACGAAAAGCGUGGGGAGCAAAACAGGAUUAGAUACCCUGGUAGUCCACGCCCUAAAACGAUGUCAACUAGUUGUUGGGGACUUCAUUUCCUUAGUAACGUAGCUAACGCGUGAAGUUGACCGCCUGGGGAGUACGGUCGCAAGAUU
Molecule: ribosomal RNA, 553 nt
Filed under: uncultured bacterium
Lineage: Bacteria
Description: partial 16S ribosomal RNA
Rfam family: Bacterial small subunit ribosomal RNA
Source: RNAcentral